Molecule: ribosomal RNA, 253 nt
Filed under: uncultured bacterium
Lineage: Bacteria
Description: partial 16S ribosomal RNA
Rfam family: Bacterial small subunit ribosomal RNA
Source: RNAcentral
GACGAACCGUGCGAACGUUGUUCGGAAUCACUGGGCUUAAAGGGCGCGUAGGCGGGUCACCAAGUCCGGGGUGAAAGCCCCCAGCUCAACUGGGGAAGUGCCUUGGAUACUGGUGGUCUGGAGGGAGGUAGGGGCAGUGGGAACUUCCGGUGGAGCGGUGAAAUGCGUUGAUAUCGGAAGGAACGCCGGUGGCGAAAGCGCACUGCUGGACCUCUACUGACGCUGAGGCGCGAAAGCCAGGGGAGCAAACGGG